GGAGAAAAUGGAAGAAUUUGCCCAGAGCUCUGAUGAAGACGGUGUUGUGUUUUCUCUGGAGUCAGCUGUGCAAAACCUUACAGAAGAAAAAGCUGAUCUUAUCACUUCGGCCCUGGCUCAGAUUCCACAAAAAGGUUUUAUGGAGAUUCAAAGGAAAGAAACCAACUACAUUAGGUGCCAAUACUCAGCUCUAUGUUUGGAUAUGCCAGAGUGAUCUUCAUGGUAAGAUUAUGACA
Molecule: long non-coding RNA, 236 nt
Filed under: Homo sapiens (human)
Lineage: Eukaryota; Metazoa; Chordata; Mammalia; Primates; Hominidae
Description: non-protein coding lnc-UGT2B28-7:1
Source: RNAcentral